RNAcentral lists this long non-coding RNA (207 nucleotides) under Nicotiana benthamiana. RNAcentral describes it as "long non-coding RNA (NBEN_LNC040285)". Lineage: Eukaryota; Viridiplantae; Streptophyta; Magnoliopsida; Solanales; Solanaceae. The record is from RNAcentral.
GUGUUUCCAACAAAGGUUUCGGAUAGAUGCCAGAAGGAAUUUUAUGUGUACCCAUGGCUGGGUAAUCGAAGGAACGUGCAUCUUCUCUUGUUCUGCUAGAAGUUUUGGUGAGAUAGGAGUUGAUUCUGGAAUAGAAGUUAGAGGAGCAUCAGAAGCGAAACCUUUUUGACUGAAGGUAACAACCAGAAUCCGAAAGCAGGAUUGAUU